CUACGGGCGGCAGCAGUAGGGAAUAUUGGACAAUGGGCGAAAGCCUGAUCCAGCAACGCCGCGUGCACGAUGACGGCCUUCGGGUUGUAAAGUGCCUUUAGAGGAGAUGAGAAAGGACAGUAUCCUCUGAAUAAGCCUCGGCGAACUACGUGCCAGCAGCCGCGGUAAAACGUAGGAGGCAAGCGUUAUCCGGAUUUAUUGGGCGUAAAGCGCGUGCAGGCGGUUUGACAAGUUGGAUGUGAAUGCUCCCGGCUUAACUGGGAGAGGUCGUUCAAAACUGUCAGACUAGAGAAUGGGAGAGGGAGGUGGAAUUCCGGGUGUAGUGGUGAAAUGCGUAGAUAUCCGGAGGAACACCAGUGGCGAAAGCGGCCUCCUAGACCAUUUCUGACGCUAAGACGCGAAAGCUAGGGUAGCAAACGGGAUUAGAUACCCUUGUAGUC
This 440-nucleotide ribosomal RNA is filed under the name uncultured bacterium. RNAcentral describes it as "partial 16S ribosomal RNA". It matches the Rfam family "Bacterial small subunit ribosomal RNA", at positions 339 to 795 of the family's 1533-position model. The record is from RNAcentral.